AACGAACGCUGGCGGCAGGCCUAACACAUGCAAGUCGAGCGAGGACUUCGGUUCUAGCGGCGGACGGGUGAGUAACGCGUGGGAAUGUGCCCUUCUCUACGGAAUAGCCCUGGGAAACUGGGAGUAAUACCGUAUACGCCCUAUUGGGGAAAGAUUUAUCGGAGAAGGAUCAGCCCGCGUUGGAUUAGGUAGUUGGUGGGGUAAUGGCCUACCAAGCCGACGAUCAUAGCUGGUUUGAGAGGAUGAUCAGCCACACUGGGACUGAGACACGGCCCAGACUCCUACGGGAGGCAGCAGUGGGGAAUCUUAGACAAUGGGGGCAACCCUGAUCUAGCCAUGCCGCGUGAGUGAUGAAGGCCUUAGGGUUGUAAAGCUCUUUCAGCUGGGAAGAUAAUGACGGUACCAGCAGAAGAAGCCCCGGCUAACUCCGUG
Molecule: ribosomal RNA, 432 nt
Filed under: uncultured bacterium
Lineage: Bacteria
Description: partial 16S ribosomal RNA
Rfam family: Bacterial small subunit ribosomal RNA
Source: RNAcentral